Molecule: ribosomal RNA, 233 nt
Filed under: uncultured Lactobacillus sp.
Lineage: Bacteria; Bacillati; Bacillota; Bacilli; Lactobacillales; Lactobacillaceae
Description: partial 16S ribosomal RNA
Rfam family: Bacterial small subunit ribosomal RNA
Source: RNAcentral
CCCAAGGGAUCGGGAUAACACCUGGAAACAGAUGCUAAUACCGGAUAACAACAGAUGAUGCCUAUCAACUGUUUAAAAGAUGGUUCUGCUAUCACUCUUGGAUGGACCUGCGGUGCAUUAGCUAGUUGGUAGGGUAACGGCCUACCAAGGCGAUGAUGCAUAGCCGAGUUGAGAGACUGAUCGGCCACAUUGGGACUGAGACACGGCCCAAACUCCUACGGGAGGCAGCAGGG